This 468-nucleotide ribosomal RNA is filed under the name uncultured bacterium. Its description in RNAcentral is "partial 16S ribosomal RNA". It matches the Rfam family "Bacterial small subunit ribosomal RNA", at positions 28 to 507 of the family's 1533-position model. The record is from RNAcentral.
GACGAACGCUGGCGGCGUGCUUAACACAUGCAAGUCGAACGGAAAGGCCCUGCUUUUGUGGGGUGCUCGAGUGGCGAACGGGUGAGUAACACGUGAGUAACCUGCCCUUGUCUUUGGGAUAACUUCAGGAAACUGGGGCUAAUACCGGAUAGGAGCUCCUGCUGCAUGGUGGGGGUUGGAAAGUUUCGGCGGUUGGGGAUGGACUCGCGGCUUAUCAGCUUGUUGGUGGGGUAGUGGCUUACCAAGGCUUUGACGGGUAGCCGGCCUGAGAGGGUGACCGGCCACCUUGGGACUGAGAGACGGCCCAGACUCCUACGGGAGGCAGUAGUGGGGAAUAUUGCACAAUGGGCGGAAGCCUGAUGCAGCAACGCCGGGUGCGGAAUGCCGGCCUUCGGGUUGUAAACCGCUUUCGCCUGUGACGAAGCGUGAGUGACGGUAAUGGGUAAAGAAGCACCGGCUAACUACGUG